RNAcentral lists this transfer RNA (69 nucleotides) under Littorina brevicula. RNAcentral's name for it is "tRNA-Arg". Lineage: Eukaryota; Metazoa; Mollusca; Gastropoda; Littorinimorpha; Littorinidae. The record is from RNAcentral.
GCACAUAAAGCGAGAAAUUUGCAUACGGUUUCGGCCCGUAACUUGGCGGUGAAAGUCCUUCUCUGUGUU